Molecule: long non-coding RNA, 799 nt
Filed under: Trifolium pratense (red clover)
Lineage: Eukaryota; Viridiplantae; Streptophyta; Magnoliopsida; Fabales; Fabaceae
Description: long non-coding RNA (TPRA_LNC001383)
Source: RNAcentral
UGUGCUAAAGGGGCAAACACCAUACAAUAUUGAUGUACUUAAAAGUCAUUUAAUAAUGAUUCUAAUUUUAACAACUCUAUAAGAGAUAAAACUAUUUAAUUGAUGUAAGGAGAUAAUGAUAUUUAUAAUAUUUUUUGAAGCAUAAUGUUAUUUAUACAUCAUAAAGUGAUAAACCUAUUUGUUACAUGUAAACAGAGAAAAUAUGUGUGAAAUUGUCAAGUUUGUUGUUAUGAUUGUCUUUCUUUCUGCAUUUUUUAUUUCAGCGAACAUAGAUUGUAAGCCAGUUUUUAUCUUUUAAAAAUUUGCUUCUUUACUUAUUAUCGAAUAUAUUGUCUCAUUUCAGUUAUAUACUUUUCUUCCGUUUUUCAAUUGCAGCGGUUUAUAGAUGUAACAGAGACGUUGAAUGUCGAAAUAAGUAUUGUCGCAGGCCUCGUGAACCAAGGUGUAUCAGACACAUAUGUACAUGUGUUGAAGUUGAAGAUGUUGGAUUAGAUUAUGUUUCCACAUACUUCAAUAUUUAAUGUAAGACCCAAAAGAGUACACAAAUGUCAUAUAUGCUAGAAUAUCUCUCGGGAGUUGUCAUUUUGAUAUUCAGCUAGUAACCAAUAAUUUAAAGUUUUAUCUUUUUUUUUUUAUCUUUUUUUUUUAAUUUCAAUAAUCUUAUAGUUUGAUCUUGUACUAUAAAUUGAUUGUAUUGAAAUAAGGCAAACAAUAGUUUCAUUUAAAUUGUAUUUUUCUCUUUUUAAUUUUAGAUAUAUCUCCAUGGCCUUUAAUUAAGAUAUCCAGUUUUUUUCCCAAC